This 294-nucleotide long non-coding RNA is filed under the name Gallus gallus (chicken). Lineage: Eukaryota; Metazoa; Chordata; Aves; Galliformes; Phasianidae. The record is from RNAcentral.
UGCAGCAAGAGUUGAUCUCAAAUGGUUUGAGCUUCCCGUUGAUGAGCAAAGUUAAUGGUAGUAUUCCUGAAGAGAUGAAUUCACUGGACUGUGAACUGGAACUUGCUCAGUCUUCUGAGGUGUGAAUCAGAUCCUCUUGAAUCUUAUCCCAGUUGUCUUGCAUCAGUAAAUUAAAAACAAAGCUCAUUUUCUGCAGAUUGCUAUAUAAUCCUAGAGUUAGGAUUCAUUAGUCCUAGCACAUAAGCAUAGAAUGUGAGGGUUAGAGUGUUGUUUUAAGUAUAUCAGAGAAAGUCC